GACGAACGCUGGCGGCGUGCUUAACACAUGCAAGUCGUACGGUAAGGCCCUUUCGGGGGUAUACGAGUGGCGAACGGGUGGGUAACACGUGAGUAACCUGCCCACCACUUUGGGAUAAUGCUUGGAAACUGGUGUUAAUACUGGAUAUGCGCUACUGCUGCAUGGUGGGGGUUGGAAAACUCCAGUGGUUGCGGAUGGACUCGCGGCCUAGUAGCUUGUUGGUGGGGCAGUGGCCUACCAAGGCGGCGACGGGUAGUCGGACUGAGAGGGUGACCGGCCACAGUGGGACUGAGAUACGGACCAGACUCCUACGGGAGGCGGCAGUGGGGAAUAUUGCACAAUGGGCGCAAGCCUGAUGCAGCAGCACCGCGUGCGGGAUGACGGCCUUCGGGUUGUAAACCGCUUUCAGCAGGGACGGAGAUUUUUGUGACGGUACCUGAAGAAGAAGCACCGGCUAACUACGUG
Molecule: ribosomal RNA, 465 nt
Filed under: uncultured bacterium
Lineage: Bacteria
Description: partial 16S ribosomal RNA
Rfam family: Bacterial small subunit ribosomal RNA
Source: RNAcentral